GUCAAAUGGCGUUCCGUAACAAUGAAGUGGAUAAUGAAAAGUUUUUUUCUAGAAUUGAGAUGAUAAUUAGAUCUAGUGAUGUCUUUUCAAUUAAUUUCAUAAUAAUUGAAUGCAUUACAGAUGUUUAUUAUUCAAGAAAAGUGAUAAAAUCCACUAUCUGAUGACAUGGUGUGAAUGGGACUGUCAUCAGAAGUCGAACUACAAGCAGAAUACAAGGAAGACCAUCAAUUCCGUAGAUCAAGGGGUAAAGGUCUAGUCUGAGGCGAAAAAAACCUGAUCAUGUACUUAAAAAUGAUCUGCUUUCACAGCUACUGUGUUUAGUUUUUUUCAUUUGUCUGCAGUUCUGAAUUGAGGCAGGUUUUUAUUUGCCUUUCAGUGUCUGAUUCUAAGCAAUGGUCUUUUGGGAAACUUAAAAUUGUGUGGGCCUUAUGGAAAAUAAGGAUUUAUCUGGUACACAGCUUAACUUGUGUCAAGCUGUACAAAUUUUACCUGUUUCAAAUUUAUUUUAAAACUGGUGUUACAUGUAUUGUAUACCUAUAUCCAUUCUUUUUUAGGAAAAGAUUUUAGCCAUGCAGAUCCAGAAAUAGCUCUAUUGAACAUGCAAAGUUCAUUCAGGAUCAUCUAUCUCAUGAAAAUGCCGCAAAGAUUCUUGAUUUUAGAUCCAUGACUGCUAUUCUGCCAUAAGCGUCUUAAUUUUUGAAAAUCAGCAACUGAUUGGUGAGGGCUAUGCCUUUAUAAACUAAAAUGUCAAUUAUGGAUGGAAGAUUCCAGAAAACAAGACCAUGGAAAUGGAAAUUUCGGUCCAGCCCUCUCCCAUUAUAUUCAGAGGGAAAUGUAUAGAUGGGUUCCUACUGGAUAUUAAUACCAAUUCUCCCAUCUUACGGUCUCACGAGGAAGUUUUGCAGCUGACCGUUAAGAUGUCUUGUCUUAUAUUUGACGGUGUCAGAAAUAGAAGACGAAAAAAGAUGCUGCACUUUCGAAGAAAGUUACCUGCACUUAACCGCUAGCCACUGAUUCGAACCGAAGAUAAAAUAUUAUAAUUUUUAUAAAUUGAAGUGCAUAUCUGGGCUCCCUUCUUUUCUGUGGCCCCGUUUCCCCUUGACUUGUGAUAAGCCCGUAGGGGGUCAUGCCCCUACUGUGAUCAGCAGUAAAGG
This 1154-nucleotide long non-coding RNA is filed under the name Daphnia magna. RNAcentral's name for it is "uncharacterized LOC123474430, transcript variant X5". Lineage: Eukaryota; Metazoa; Arthropoda; Branchiopoda; Diplostraca; Daphniidae. The record is from RNAcentral.